GGAAGGUAAACUAAAAAGGUUGUUAGGCUCAUACCCUGAAAGUGUGUAAAUCACCCUUCUA
This 61-nucleotide transfer RNA is filed under the name Dreissena polymorpha. RNAcentral describes it as "tRNA-Met". The record is from RNAcentral. Lineage: Eukaryota; Metazoa; Mollusca; Bivalvia; Myida; Dreissenidae.